RNAcentral lists this ribosomal RNA (467 nucleotides) under uncultured bacterium. Its description in RNAcentral is "bacterial LSU rRNA". It matches the Rfam family "Bacterial large subunit ribosomal RNA", at positions 715 to 1180 of the family's 2925-position model. The record is from RNAcentral.
CCGAAACCAAGUGAUCUAUCCAUGGCCAGGAUGAAGGUGCGGUAACACGCACUGGAGGUCCGAACCCACUAAUGUUGAAAAAUUAGGGGAUGAGCUGUGGAUAGGGGUGAAAGGCUAAACAAACUUGGAAAUAGCUGGUUCUCUCCGAAAACUAUUUAGGUAGUGCCUCAAGUAUCACCGACGGGGUAAAGCACUGUUAUGGCUAGGGGGUCAUCGCGACUUACCAAACCAUUGCAAACUCAGAAUACCGUUGAGUGCGAGCUUGGGAGACAGACAUCGGGUGCUAACGUCCGGUAGUCAAGAGGGAAACAACCCAGACCGCCGAUAAGGUCCCAAAGCCAUAGUUAAGUCGGGAAACGAGGUGGAAGGCUUAGACAGCCAGGAGGUUGGCUUAGAAGCAGCCAUCCUUUAAAGAAAGCGUAAUAGCUCACUGGUCCGAGUCGUCCUGCGCGGAAGAUGUAACGGGG